RNAcentral lists this transfer RNA (75 nucleotides) under Leguminivora glycinivorella. RNAcentral describes it as "tRNA-Ala". It matches the Rfam family "tRNA". Rfam says of the family: Transfer RNA (tRNA) molecules are approximately 80 nucleotides in length. Their secondary structure includes four short double-helical elements and three loops (D, anti-codon, and T loops). Further hydrogen bonds mediate the characteristic L-shaped molecular structure. tRNAs have two regions of fundamental functional importance: the anti-codon, which is responsible for specific mRNA codon recognition, and the 3' end, to which the tRNAs corresponding amino acid is attached (by aminoacyl-tRNA synthetases). tRNAs cope with the degeneracy of the genetic code in two manners: having more than one tRNA (with a specific anti-codon) for a particular amino acid; and 'wobble' base-pairing, i.e. permitting non-standard base-pairing at the 3rd anti-codon position. The record is from RNAcentral. Lineage: Eukaryota; Metazoa; Arthropoda; Insecta; Lepidoptera; Tortricidae.
GCCUCCGUAGCGCAGUUGGAAGCGGGAUGGCCCCAGCAAGGCCAGAGGUCGCAGGUUCGAGUCCUGCCGGAGGUG